Molecule: ribosomal RNA, 253 nt
Filed under: uncultured bacterium
Lineage: Bacteria
Description: partial 16S ribosomal RNA
Rfam family: Bacterial small subunit ribosomal RNA
Source: RNAcentral
UACGGAGGGUGCAAGCGUUAAUCGGAAUUACUGGGCGUAAAGCGCACGCAGGUGGCUGAGUCAGUCGAUUGUGAAAGCCCUGGGCUUAACCUAGGAAUUGCAGUCGAUACUACUCAGCUAGAGUAUGGGAGAGGGCAGUGGAAUUCCCGGUGUAGCGGUGAAAUGCGUAGAUAUCGGGAGGAACAUCAGUGGCGAAGGCGGCUGCCUGGCCCAAUACUGACACUCAGGUGCGACAGCCAGGGGAGCAAACGGG